Long non-coding RNA from Nycticebus coucang (slow loris), 4267 nucleotides. RefSeq lists it as uncharacterized. The transcript is spliced from 7 exons. The record is from RefSeq and is a predicted model, not a curated record. NCBI's taxonomy places the organism in Eukaryota, Metazoa, Chordata, Mammalia, Primates, Lorisidae.
UCUCUCCCGGCUCCUCACUCUGGGCGUCUCCGCUCGCGCCGGCGUAGUCCAGUGAACAUACAUGACUUGUGGAACUGCAAUUAAUUGUUUUUUUUUUUUAAAUUCCAAUUCACUCCAAUAAUAAUAGAAAUAAAAAGAUGGCUCAGUGAAGUGGCUCACACCUGUAAUCCUAGCACUCUGAGAGGCCAAGGCAGAUUGCUUGAGCUCAGGGGUUUGAGACCAGCCUGAGCAAGAAUGAGACCCCAUCUCCACUAAAAAUAAGAAAAACUGAGGCAAGAGGAUCCCUUGAGCCCAAGAGCUUGAGGUUGCUGUGAGCCAUGACACCAGGGCACUCUACUCAGGCGCCAGAGGACUCCAUAUUAAGAAAAUAAAAAGGAAAGAAAAACAGCACACAGAAAUGCUUCAGAGGAUGGAGUAAUUUUAUGGACAAGCAAAGGUGACAGGAGGGAAUGACUCUGGUGAUACCGUGAUAGCUACCAGCCCUUCUAGGCCCAUCAAGGAUCAAAAGGAGAGGCGGCUUUCCUGUAGGCUCCACCUCAUCAAAAGGUUGCUGUCGGCUUUCCUUCUGAGUUCUUUAAUCAUCUUCAGCCUUCCUUGGAUUUGCCAGGAAAGAAGAGGAAAAAGGAGGAGAAAUCAGAAGAAACACUCCAAAUUGGUGACGAGAUCCAGAGGUCAUGAAGUCAAAUUGGUCCUCCUCCCAGCAGGCCUUUGUGAAGCAUGCAUGAAAAUUGAAUUCAAACGUAUAUUAUAAAAACCUGCUGUCACCAGUCCAGUGGACACUGGGUGAGGAUGGAGAACUACAGCUUUGAUUUAUCCACUGAGUUCCACCUUUCAAUACUAUUACUAUUAUGAAAGCUGCAUUUUUCAGUACAAUAACAAUUCAGCUUCUCAUUUUUCUACUACUUUUUAUAAAGUAAGGUAUACUAUAGCAGUCAAACUCUUUCUAUGGUGCUCCCCGCUGAUGGAGAUGACUCUACUGGCCAAAGCGAGCAGCUGAUUGGUCCCAGGGCAGUUCGCCACAUGAUGGCUCAAAACACUGGAUACCAAGGAAAAAAUUCAGAAUGUGGCCACUCGUUUAAGGGCCCUAAUGUAUAAUGUAUGUAAAAAGAAAAACGUUACAUAGAAGUUGAAUUUAGAAAAAUGGAAGACCAUGUGUAUAGGAAGAUGGAUAGAGUAGGAAAAAAAAUAGCCUAAAAGUAAAAUCUAAACAAGAACAACAACAAAAUGACAAAAUUGCAUGUAAAAUAAGAACUUUUUUUUGGUAGAGACAGAAUCUCACUUUAUUGCCCUUGGUAGAAUGCCAUGGUGUCACACACUCACAGCAACCUCCAACUCCUGGGCUUAGGCGAUUCUCUUGCCUCAGCCUCCUGAGUAGCUGGGACCACAGGCACCUGCCACAAUGCCUGGCUAUUUUUUUGUUGCAGUUUGGCCGGGGCCAGGUUCGAACCUGCCACCCUCAGUAUAUGGGACCUGCACCCUACCCACUGAGCCACAGGUGCUGAAAAUAAGAACUUUCAUUGCUUGGGAUAUGUGUUUCUUUGAUUUAGUUUUAUUUGGGGCAUGGGAUGGGGUUAAAUGAAAUAUAAUUUGAGGCGAUAAGAGGAGAGAAAUACUGUUCAGAGUCAUUGACAUUUUAAUAUAUUUCUCAGAAGCAUCAUUGAAGUUGACAGGAAAAAGUCACUCUAAUUGGAAAUAAAGGAGGCUGACAGAGAUGUGCCUCUCCACAGCUCAGGUAACCCUACUGAGUGCCUUUGUGCUCUGGGCACUUUGGGGCUGCAAAGAGCCUGAGAUGCAGUACUCAGGAUACAAAAAUGAAAAGUGAGGACAAUCCAAAUUGAGUAAUGAGACUUAUUUUUAAUAUAGUCUAAAUUUUAGAACAGUACCAAACUUUCAGAAAAGUUGCAAGUGCAGAGCAAGACAGAAAACUUUUUGUUUUCUUGAAAAUUUGAAAUUUUCAGGGAAAUAAUUCAGUAUUUCCUCCCAAAUACAUUCUCCUAUAUAAACACAAUAUAAACAUCAAAAUCAGGAAAUUAACGUGGAUACAUGGUCACUUCUAACCCUCAGGCCCCAUGUACUUUUUGCCGAUCAUGCUAAUUAUGUGCUUUCUAACAAAGGGGAUCUCGCAGUACAUUUUUAUGUCAUUUUAGUUUCCUAAAACUGGAAGAAGUCCUAGUCUUUCUUUGACUUGUGCAACCUAGACGUUUUCAGAGGUCUAUCACACUGUCUGAUGUUUCUUUAGCGUCACAUUCAGCUCAUGCAUCUUUGGUGGGUGUGAUGUUAACUUUAGGUGUCAUCUCGACUGGAUUAAGGGAUACCUAAAUAGUUGGUAAAGUACUGUUUCUAGUUGUUUCUGUGAGGAUGUUUCCAGAGGCGAGUGGGGUAUGAGUCAGUAGGAGAUUGCCCUCAGUGUGGGUGGGCACCAUGCAAUCAGUGAGGUGCCUAGCUAGAGCAAAAAGGCAGGGGAAAGGUAAAUUCUCUCUCUCUUCCCUCUCCUGGAGUUUGGACACCCUUCUUUUGCCCUCAGAUACCAGAAUGCGAGAUUUUCCAGCCUGUAAACUCUUGCCCCAUCUUCUCCCCCUCCCCUGAGAAUCAGGGAGUCCUCAGGCCUUCAGACUCAGAGUUACAGCAUUGACUUUAAUGCUCUGUAGUUCCAGCUCUUCCAGAGAAUGAGGCAGGAGUUCGAGGCAAGCCUGGGUAACAUAGCGAAAGUCUGUCUCUAUGGUAGGAAUGUUCUGUGCUGGGGAGCCUGGCAGCUGGACACCUUCCUCACACUGUCUGAGCUCUGACAGCCCACAGCUGAGUGCCUUUAAAAUUUUUUUUUUUUUUUUUUUUUUAGUCAGAGUCUCACUCUGUUGUUCUGGGUAGAGUGCCGUGGAGUCAUCAUAGCUCACAGCAACCUUGAACUCUUGGGCUCAAGGGAUCCUUUUGCCUCAGCCUCCCAAGUAGCUGGGACUACAGGUGUGCACCACCAUGCCCAGCUAGUUUUUUCUAUAUACAUUUUUUGAAGUAAAGAUGAGGUCUCACUCUUGCUCAGACCAGUUUUGAACUCCUGAGCUCAAGUAAUCCACCUGCCUCAAGUUCCCAAAGUGCUGCGAUUGCAGGCAUGGGACAAUGCCUGGCCCCAGAGUGCCCUUUCUGUGAACACUCCUCUCUCAGCUCAGGCUCUGACACCCUGCUGUACUCCGUUCUUAUGUCCUGCUCUGGGCCACCAUGGUCUCUCCUUUAGGGACAGAGCUUUAGAACUGCAUUGUUUGGAAGGGAAACAAAAGGUGGGGAAGGCAAAGAGUAAAGUCUAUUUCAAAUUCAAAAUUUAAAAGAAGAGGCUCAGCGCCAUAGCUCAGUGAUUAGGGUGCCAGCCACAUGCACCAGGGCUGGUGGUCCAAACCCGGCCCAGGCCUGCUAAAUAACAAUGACAACAACAACAACAAAAAUAGGCUUUGUGGCGGGCGCCUGUAGUCCCACCUACUUAGGAGGCUGAGGCAAGAGAAUAACUUAAGCCCAAGAGUUUGAGGUUGCUGUGAGCUGUGAUGCCACAGCACUCUACUGAGGGUGACAUAAUGAGACUCUGUCUCAAGGGAAAAAAAAAUUUUUAAAGAAAAAAUAAUGUCUACUAUAUAUAUUUUUUCUAUACUAAGGAGAAACGUGGCUUUUUCUAGGUCUUCUAAAAAGGCUAAAAUGGAAACAUGUUUUUAAACUUUACAUUUAUUCUCUUCUUGGGGACUAAUGCAGGGCUGGGUAAUUAGACUCAGAUUCCUUAUUUAUAUUCUUAUUUGGGGGCAGAAGAACAGUCUCUUUUAAACUACAACAUUUCCUUUUUUAAUAUGCCCAGAAGGAUUGGAAAAUACUGGGAAUUAACAAUUUUUGGUGAAGAGACAAGAUUGUAAAACUAUUAGUUUAAAAUAAAGGUCAGCUCUGCUCUCUUUAAUCAUUUCAUGCAAUUUUGCCCUGAAGGCAUUUAUCCUUGUCUUUAUCCAUUGAAUUGUAUAGUAAACCCUAUUAAUUUAAUCCAGAUGAACAGUUAUUUCUGACUUUAUAUUACAGUUCUAUUGAGGUAAUUACUACCAAAUGAUCAGUGAUUGAGUCUGAAAAAAAUGCACUUAAUUAUUAUUAAUUGAAUAACCACUGAGUUAAUAAAACUGUCCUAGGAUAUUAUACUGGAAAUUAAUUGAAGAUAAUAUAUACCUUCAAGAAGUUAUGCCCCGAGGGAGAUAAUGGAGGAAGAACAAUCCUUUCCAUUUAGGUAAAGACACUUAAUAAAUGCUCAUUA